RNAcentral lists this ribosomal RNA (408 nucleotides) under uncultured rape rhizosphere bacterium wr0105. RNAcentral describes it as "bacterial SSU rRNA". It matches the Rfam family "Bacterial small subunit ribosomal RNA", at positions 27 to 479 of the family's 1533-position model. The record is from RNAcentral.
GAGCGAACGCUGGCGGCAGGCUUAACACAUGCAAGUCGAGCGGGCGUAGCAAUACGUCAGCGGCAGACGGGUGAGUAACGCGUGGGAACGUACCUUUUGGUUCGGAACAACACAGGGAAACUUGUGCUAAUACCGGAUAAGCCCUUACGGGGAAAGAUUUAUCGCCGAAAGAUCGGCCCGCGUCUGAUUAGCUAGUUGGUGAGGUAACGGCUCACCAAGGCGACGAUCAGUAGCUGGUCUGAGAGGAUGAUCAGCCACAUUGGGACUGAGACACGGCCCAAACUCCUACGGGAGGCAGCAGUGGGGAAUAUUGGACAAUGGGCGCAAGCCUGAUCCAGCCAUGCCGCGUGAGUGAUGAAGGCCCUAGGGUUGUAAAGCUCUUUUGUGCGGGAAGAUAAUGACGGUACC